AGAAUGCAGUCUAGUGCUAUAUCCUGCACCCCCCACCUCCCUGCCACAGCUAACUUGACACCUUAAUGAUUAAAAUUGUCGGUGGUGUUUGAAAUCAAGUAUGUGUUAGACAAACCAUUAUCCUUGGUGGUUAUGUUUCUGCACUUGUUAGCCGAGAAGCUCAUGGGUGUGCCCGCUUGUCCUGCUCCAAUGCAUCAGUUCCUGUUGGUAGUGAAUCUAUGGCAACCUGCUUAGUAACUAGAACACACGAGCACUGAAUGACUUUCCACAUCAGGCAGGAAAAGGAGCAGGAUUUCUGAAGCUGUGCUGACAAGAUUCAAUACUCUUUAUAACGCGUAGCUGGUUCUGUGGGGAAUGGAUCAGUCCUUGUUUGCAGAUCACAAGUACUGCAGCGUGAUGACAGUACACGAUAAAGUCUCAUGCACCAACUUCAUAACUCAUGGUGAUCCUUUCUCCAGUGGAUUCUUCAUCACGCAUCCUGCCUGGGUUACCAGCUCCCUUAGCCCUGUAAGGUGCUCAUGGAUCAGGCACUGUCCCUGUUUCCCUGAAACAAUAUGUAAGGGUCUCAUGGUGCUGGAAAAAUCUCUGGACUUUGCUAAUGUUCCUGUUCUGGCAAGAAGGAAGUCAGAUGGGUUUUAUUACCAAGGUACAAUAAAGCAGGAGAUCAAGGAGGAAAGAGGAAUGUAUCUGAUAGAGUUUGCCAAGCCACCUGCACUGGGUGAAAAGUAUCCAGCAUAUGUGCAAAAAACAUCCAAGGAUGACAUCCUUGAGUAUAGCCAUGGAAUGAGUCACUGCAUACUCCCUGGAGACAAAGUUCUGGCACCCUGGGAAUCAGACAUGGUGAGAUAUGGCCCUGGCACUGUUGUACUGGGCAUUGAGACCAGGGAUCCGCUGAGAGCCUCAGAGGAUGAAGAAAUUACAGUCCAUUUCUGGAAUGGCAAGAAAGUGAAAGUACCACUAGGUGUGGCCUUAUGGAUUCCACCAAAUUUGUGGGAUAGGAUUAUAGAUAUGAUCCACAUGCCCUUCACCAGCAGUUUAAAGCUCAUGGAAGCCCUCCAGAGCACUAGCUGUUGCAAUUGGCGUCACAGACUUCUGAAAACUCCUGUUCAUGCAUACACUUUAGAUAGGCUUACUACAUGCAGGUGGCCAUGCACUAUCACCUGGACCCCCUUCCACUGUCAUUACCAUAGUACGUGCUGUUCACUGGCACAUGCACAAUGUAUCUGCUACCACCAUCCCAAACUCAGUACCUGGUGGCCUGUACCAUCUAAGACUCCACUACUUCUGAGUGACACUGAACAAAAACAGCCCAACAACGGUAUCAGUAUGAAACUUUUGGAAUUGGAAGCUCCAAAAGAAGAAGAAUCAGCAGUUGUUGGUGCUGGUGCUGCUGCUGGUGCUGCUGCCUCCUCGUCUAGCUCCUCUGAUUCAGAAAGUGACUCAGAGAUGUGCUUAACCAAGAGGACGAUGGUGGACAGUGCUGUUAACACAGAUUCUAGCCUUUUUGAAAAGUCCACGUUGAAAGAUGAUGUGAAACCUCAGUGGAGAUACUGGAAGAGAAGCCACCCCAAGUCACUUCCCCAGAGUCCAGGAAUCUGUGUUCCUAGCAAUACAUGGGCAAAGGACAAAUUGGAAUCCAAAACUAUUUGUUUGGAGGUGUCACCUAUUGCAGCAAUCAACCAGAGUGCAAUGUUUCAAUCUACUGAACAGUCUCCCCGAAGACAGCUCACAAUGAAGGAAGCCUUAAUCCACCAGAACUUCAAACCAUCAUUGGGGGCCAUCUCUCCUUUAGAGAAAUUUGGAGAAAAUCAACACUGCAAGAGCACAUGCACAGAGCAGCAAAGGAAGCAGGAAGUCCUGCAGCAGAAAGAGGAACGUGAAAGGGAAUGCCAGGCUGAACACAGAUGCCACACUGCAUUGGAAAUCCGUGGACAAAAUGACUUAAGAGCAAACAGGCAGAUGGACAGGACUUGAACAUAAACUCCUGCAUGAUGCAUAAGUUUUGCUGCAUCAGUAGUUGCAGUAAAAUAGUACUUUAAGUUUUGGAAGUUGGACCUCAUGUUCGUAAAGACUAGAAAGUAUCUACAUGAAGAGACUUCCCUCAUUUGUGGAUGAGUGUGCUAUGACUUGCAGCACUGGUGGCAGUAACAGAAAGCACACUUAAACUCCAAAUGAUUAAUGAUUAAAAGGACAGCCCCCCCAAAUAUUUGAGAGUUGUGGAUGCAAGUCAGUGUGACUGCUCCCUCCCCCAAAGGCAGCUGAAGCACAGUUCUGCCUUGUAGUUAAAGAGAAAUGAUGGUGAAACAUCUUGAGCAGGAAGACAUGAAGCAGAGCCAGAUAACAAAAGCAAAGCAACUUGUACAACAGAGAAGAAACCUGAAAAUGCAAACCAUGUCAGAGAUGGAUAGGCACAAAGAACAGCAGAGACUAGCAAACCUGGAACAGGUCAGAGAGAAACGUGAUCAGAAGGAAAGGAAUAAGUGUACAGCUGAAGAAGUCAGCGAUACAAUCUCAGAUAACAAGCUGCUUGCUGCAAGAUGAUAGCCAACAUCAAAGGACAAAGAUGAUAUAAAUUAUGAUGAGGUUUGCUUACAGAUUUUAAUUCAAAAGAUAUGCCACAGCAGUGUGUUCCAAAAGGCAGAAUUGGAGGAAAUCAAUGUACAGUUUCCAAGAUGUUUCUAGAAGGCUAAUGAGACUUGAUCACUAGGUUCCUCAAGUCGCUGUUAAAUUACAAUUUCAGGGUCAAAUAUGUUCAAAGAUGAAAGAAUGUGGCUUUUUAGAACUCUGCAAGUAACCGCAGGACUGUGAAAACAGGCAUUUUAUUUGUCACUCCUUAGGUUCUGCUGAUCAUAAAUAAACAGUCCACAAAAAGUUUGUUCAUAGGAGUCUGAUCUUUACGUAGGUGAAGUUCCUCCAGGCAUCAGCAAAAAUUUGCUUGCAUCUGGGGUGCACGGGGUUGGAUUGUACGUGGCUCUUUCAUGAGCAUACACAAACAAGAAAAAGUUCUCUAUCUUGCUGGAGGCAAUAAAACUACACUCCUUUCUCCUCUUGCUCUUUAAACACAUGGAAUAUUUUGGCUGUAGUGUCAUGGCACACAUGGAAAAUAUGAGUUAACCUUGUUCAAAGCAUCUAUACACCAAGGGGAGUAGUUUUGUAUGGCACAUGAC
RNA transcript from Gavialis gangeticus (Gharial), 3167 nucleotides. It is a transcript of the gene named chromosome unknown C11orf16 homolog, with no coding region annotated. The transcript is spliced from 10 exons. Lineage: Eukaryota; Metazoa; Chordata; Crocodylia; Gavialidae. The record is from RefSeq and is a predicted model, not a curated record.